UACGUAGGGGGCAAGCGUUGUCCGGAUUUAUUGGGCGUAAAGCGCGUGUAGGCGGCUAGGUAGGUCCGCUGUGAAAACUUGAGGCUCAACCUCAAGAGGUCGGUGGAAACCAUCUAGCUAGAGUCCGGAAGAGGAGAAUGGAAUUCCUGGUGUAGCGGUGAAAUGCGCAGAUAUCAGGAAGAACACCCGUGGCGAAGGCGGUUCUCUGGGACGGUACUGACGCUGAGACGCGAAAGCGUGGGGAGCAAACAGG
Molecule: ribosomal RNA, 253 nt
Filed under: uncultured bacterium
Lineage: Bacteria
Description: partial 16S ribosomal RNA
Rfam family: Bacterial small subunit ribosomal RNA
Source: RNAcentral